GAUGAACGCUGGCGGCGUGCCUAAUACAUGCAAGUCGAGCGAACGGACGAGAAGCUUGCUUCUCUGAUGUUAGCGGCGGACGGGUGAGUAACACGUGGAUAACCUACCUAUAAGACUGGGAUAACUUCGGGAAACCGGAGCUAAUACCGGAUAAUAUUUUGAACCGCAUGGUUCAAAAGUGAAAGACGGUCUUGCUGUCACUUAUAGAUGGAUCCGCGCUGCAUUAGCUAGUUGGUGAGGUAACGGCUUACCAAGGCAACGAUGCAUAGCCGACCUGAGAGGGUGAUCGGCCACACUGGAACUGAGACACGGUCCAGACUCCUACGGGAGGCAGCAGUAGGGAAUCUUCCGCAAUGGGCGAAAGCCUGACGGAGCAACGCCGCGUGAGUGAUGAAGGUCUUCGGAUCGUAAAACUCUGUUAUUAGGGAAGAACAUAUGUGUAAGUAACUGUGCACAUCUUGACGGUACCUAAUCAGAAAGCCACGGCUAACUACGUGCCAGCAGCCGCGGUAAUACGUAGGUGGCAAGCGUUAUCCGGAAUUAUUGGGCGUAAAGCGCGCGUAGGCGGUUUUUUAAGUCUGAUGUGAAAGCCCACGGCUCAACCGUGGAGGGUCAUUGGAAACUGGAAAACUUGAGUGCAGAAGAGGAAAGUGGAAUUCCAUGUGUAGCGGUGAAAUGCGCAGAGAUAUGGAGGAACACCAGUGGCGAAGGCGACUUUCUGGUCUGUAACUGACGCUGAUGUGCGAAAGCGUGGGGAUCAAACAGGAUUAGAUACCCUGGUAGUCCACGCCGUAAACGAUGAGUGCUAAGUGUUAGGGGGUUUCCGCCCCUUAGUGCUGCAGCUAACGCAUUAAGCACUCCGCCUGGGGAGUACGACCGCAAGGUUGAAACUCAAAGGAAUUGACGGGGACCCGCACAAGCGGUGGAGCAUGUGGUUUAAUUCGAAGCAACGCGAAGAACCUUACCAAAUCUUGACAUCCUUUGACAACUCUAGAGAUAGAGCUAUCCCCUUCGGGGGACAAAGUGACAGGUGGUGCAUGGUUGUCGUCAGCUCGUGUCGUGAGAUGUUGGGUUAAGUCCCGCAACGAGCGCAACCCUUAAGCUUAGUUGCCAUCAUUAAGUUGGGCACUCUAAGUUGACUGCCGGUGACAAACCGGAGGAAGGUGGGGAUGACGUCAAAUCAUCAUGCCCCUUAUGAUUUGGGCUACACACGUGCUACAAUGGACAAUACAAAGGGCAGCGAAACCGCGAGGUCAAGCAAAUCCCAUAAAGUUGUUCUCAGUUCGGAUUGUAGUCUGCAACUCGACUACAUGAAGCUGGAAUCGCUAGUAAUCGUAGAUCAGCAUGCUACGGUGAAUACGUUCCCGGGUCU
RNAcentral lists this ribosomal RNA (1372 nucleotides) under uncultured bacterium. Its description in RNAcentral is "bacterial SSU rRNA". It matches the Rfam family "Bacterial small subunit ribosomal RNA", at positions 28 to 1381 of the family's 1533-position model. The record is from RNAcentral.